Molecule: ribosomal RNA, 616 nt
Filed under: uncultured bacterium
Lineage: Bacteria
Description: bacterial SSU rRNA
Rfam family: Bacterial small subunit ribosomal RNA
Source: RNAcentral
GGGGUAACGGCCUACCAAGGCUCCGACGGGUAGCCGGCCUGAGAGGGCGACCGGCCACACUGGGACUGAGACACGGCCCAGACUCCUACGGGAGGCAGCAGUGGGGAAUAUUGCGCAAUGGGCGAAAGCCUGAUGCAGCGACGCCGCGUGAGGGAUGACGGCCUUCGGGUUGUAAACCUCUUUCAGCAGGGACGAAGCGCAAGUGACGGUACCUGCAGAAGAAGCACCGGCCAACUACGUGCCAGCAGCCGCGGUAAUACGUAGGGUGCAAGCGUUGUCCGGAAUUAUUGGGCGUAAAGAGCUCGUAGGCGGCUUGUUACGUCGGCUGUGAAAACCUGGGGCUCAACCCCGGGCCUGCAGCCGAUACGGGCAAGCUAGAAUUCGGUAGGGGAGACUGGAAUUCCUGGUGUAGCGGUGAAAUGCGCAGAUAUCAGGAGGAACACCGGUGGCGAAGGCGGGUCUCCGGGCCGAUAUUGACGCUGAGGAGCGAAAGCGUGGGGAGCGAACAGGAUUAGAUACCCUGGUAGUCCACGCCGUAAACGUUGGGCGCUAGGUGUGGGCCACAUUCCACGUGGUCUGUGCCGCAGCUAACGCAUUAAGCGCCCCGCCUGGGGAG